AUAACGGUCCUAAGGUAGCGAAAUUCCUUGUCAGGUAAGUUCUGACCCGCACGAAUGGCGUAAUGAUUUGGGCACUGUCUCGACAGCCCGCCCGGCGAAAUUGUAGUACUGGUGAAGAUGCCAGUUACCCGCAACUAGACGGAAAGACCCCAUGGAGCUUUACUGCAGUUUAAUACUGGGAAUCGGUAAUGCAUGUACAGGAUAGGUGGGAGACUAGGAAGCAUGGUCGUCAGGUCAUGUGGAGUCACCGGUGGGAUACCACUCUUGUAUUGCUGAUUUCCUAACCUGCGGCCGUGAAUCCGGUCGGGGGACACUGUUAGACGGGCAGUUUGACUGGGGCGGUCGCCUCCAAAAGAGUAACGGAGGCGCUCAAAGGUUCGUUCAGCACGGACGGAAAUCGUGCAUUGAGUGUAAACGCAUAAACGAGCCUAACUGCGAGACCGACGGGUCGAGCAGUAACGAAAGUUGGAGUUAGUGAUCCGGUGGUAUGUGAGUGGAAAUGCCAUCGCUCAACGGAUAAAAGUUACCCUGGGGAUAACAGGCUGAUCUCCCCCAAGAGUCCACAUCGACGGGGAGGUUUGGCACCUCGAUGUCGGCUCAUCGCAUCCUGGGGCUGUAUUCGGUCCCAAGGGUUUGGCUGUUCGCCAAUUAAAGCGGCACGCGAGCUGGGUUCAGAACGUCGUGAGACAGUUCGGUCCCUAUCUGUUGCGGGCGUAAGAGAUUUGAAGGGAGCUGUCCUUAGUACGAGAGGACCGGGAUGGACUGACCGCUGGUGCACCAGUUGUUCUGCCAAGAGCAUAGCUGGGUAGCUACGUCGGGACGAGAUAAACGCUGAAGGCAUCUAAGCGUGAAACUCCCCCUAAGAUAAGAUCUCUCAUCCUUUAUGGAGUAAGGCUCGUCGUAGACUAUGACGUUGAUAGGUCAGAGGUGGAAGCGCCGUAAGGUGUGUAGCUGACUGAUACUAAUAAGCCGAGGGCUUGACCU
Molecule: ribosomal RNA, 984 nt
Filed under: human gut metagenome
Description: bacterial LSU rRNA
Rfam family: Bacterial large subunit ribosomal RNA
Source: RNAcentral